CACUUGAAAGUUAGACAACUUGUCGUUGUGUAUUGUAAGUUGUCUACUCAUGAGUUUUAAAAGUGAUUGCUUAUGAUUAUCCAAUAUUAAAGUAAUUCAUCGUUAAAGAGGGUUCAUUAUUAUUAUUUAAAUCUCUUUUAUUUUUCAUUUUCUUUUUCCCUUCCCCAGUCACACAUUUUCCCUGACUUAACUGUUGUUAGUUUAGGUCGGGCUGUGACAAAGUGGUAUCAGAGCAGGUUGUUUGCUCUGAGCCUAAACAUUCCCUUGAGUCUAGUCUAAAUUUGAAUCUUUAGACUAAAAUGAGUAAUAUAGUAAAAGCUCUGCGCUCCAUCUCAUCCAGCAUAGCCAGGUACUGAUUUUCAGAGUUUUAAAGAAUCAAUUUACAGUUUGAAAGAGUUUGAGUUGUUAAUAUUGCAACUUUGCAAGAAAGUUAUUAAUAUUGCAAUUUUGCAAGAAUCUAGUAUUUGGAGAAGUUUACAUGUUUACAAGUGAGUGAAUAUGAAUAACAUGAGUUAUUUAUGAGUAUCCUCUGCCUAUACGAACUUUUGAGAUUUGAAUGAAUAAAAGUGUUAUUCAUAUAUUAAUAUUUAUAUUUUGAUAUGUGGAUGGAGAUAUAUAUAGACAGAUUGAUGAUACAAUAAUGAUGUAUAUCAGUCGCGAUGUAACCUAGUACUAGUAGUGAUGUUAUACAGUUAGGGCACCACAAUCAGUACUAAGAGCUUUUUGCAACAUAUAUUCCUAUCUUUCGUAUGAGAACUCAUUGAGGCAAAUUUUCUCAUGAUAUGAAGUGAUCAGAGUGGUCAUUUACUAGGUUAUUAUUGAGCUUUACUUGCUUAGAUGAUUGAAUUUUUGUGUAUGAGUUUUAUAACUUAGUUGGAUUAUAGUUAAGUAGGAGUUUGACUUUACUGAUGGGAUGAAAGCUCAAUUUUGGAGAUUUUGUGUAUUUACUCGGCAUGAUGUCUCAAAGAAGCAGUGGAAAUCUGCCAUCCGCCAUGUGAAUAAUUUAGAGAACUACUCGUCCCCAUCAACUUGAAAGAAGAAUAGCAGAAGUUUUUCAUCGUCAAGAUCCCUUUAUUGCGAGUUAAGCGGUAGAGUUUCAAAGAGGCAGUAGAGUUUUACGAGUUUCGCUUCCUUAGAUGCAAUGAUCAAGAGCGCCUUCUUGUAUGUUAUUUCAACUACAAGGAUCGACUUAUNAGUAGUGGGAGACGAAGCAGAAGAUAUAUACCCUCGAGCGAUUAGAGAAUCUUAUUUGGGGCCAGUUCACAGAAGUUUUUAUGAAGAAUAUGUUUCCAGAAGCCGUCGUCAGCAAAAAGGAGACGUAAUUUAACAAUUUAAAGCAAUAGAAGAAGACAGUAGCUGAAUGUGAUCAAGGGUUUUGUGAUAUAGCUGGAUAUAUGCCUUAUAAGGCUGACACAUAUAUUAGUUGUAACUUUUGAUAGAGUUUUGAUGUAGUGCCUUUGCUUGUUGGCAAACCAAAUAUUCUUUCAGCUAUUGCAAGCCAAACAUUCCUUCAACUAAUGAAGAUAUCUCUUUUCCAUUUCAUCCCUCCCACCAAAAGUUUUGUUUGAAAUCUUGAUAUAAUUUAGUGCUUCUGUGGUGGGCAGUAUAUAGCGUAUCAUGAGCUUUACUCGUGAUUUUAUUUCUCAACUGUUCAGUAUUGGGUACACAACUUUUCUCAAACAUGAUAGCAGUACCCCUAGCUUUUUGGCAAGUAUUGACCCCUUCUAUCAAAAUCCUUACCCAUAAUUUUUCUCCUUUUUAUUUUCCCCAUGUACUUUAACAAUUCUUCUUCUCAAAUCAAAAAUCAUUGUUAACAUUGCAAUUACAGCUUCUCUUGUUUGCUGUGGUAGAACCAUUUGUAAAUCCAACUUUCAAAUCCUUGAUGAGAAUUUUUCUUCAUGGGUAAGGAGAAAUCCUUAGUAAACUUGAGUUUUUCUACUCAAGGCAUCCACUAUUAUAUUGGCUUUGCGUGGGUGAUAAUUUAUUCUACAAUCAUAGUCCCUUACUAAUUCGAGCUAUAUUCCUUGUCUCACACUUAGAUCUUUUGCUCGAAUAAGUAUUUUAAACUUUUAUGAGGUGUAUCAAUUCCACAUCUCGUUUCAGAAUACCAUUGUUGCUAGUUCCAAGUUAUGUUGAGCAAUUCAGUUCUUGUGGUCUAUGUUCUCAUGACCCAAUAACAAUAACUCUUUCACUUUGCAACAAUGCACAACCAAGUCCAUCUUUGAUACACAGGACCAAUUUUAUAUGGUCUUUCAACUUUGAGAAUUCGGCCAUAUUUUAAAAUAGCCUUUCAUCCAACAACAGAUGAGCAAUUUGAGAGAAAUCUUUAAACCUUAGAAGAUGUGACAUAGACUAUUGUACUAGAGCGAAGAAGUGGCGACCUUAGCAGUAGGGACACUGGCGAUCGUAAGAAAUUCUGGGUUCCAAAACUCUCUUUCCAAAAAUGAUUUUUCAGAAGGAGCGAAUUCCCCGCAAACAAGGCAGGAGACGACUAUCUCAAGGUGCAUCACGCGUACUCAGAAGCCGCAUUAUGCACUAGAUUGAAGGAUGAAUUGGGAAAACCUUUUGCUAGUAAUUGAAUUGGCCUACAAUUAUAGCUUUCGGGCAAUAAUUGAUAUGACACCAUAUGGAGCUUAUUGUGGAAAGAAAUAUUGAUCUCCACUCUAUUGACAUGAGGUAAGUGAAAGAAAAGUAACAGGACCUGAUGCGCUUGAAGAAAUGAUUACGCUUAUCCGACAAAUUCAACAACUGCUCAACGAACCUCAAGAGCGACAGAAAUUUUUUUUUGUAGAUACUCGUUGAUUUGAUUUGAAAUUUUUGAAAUAGGGGAUGAAGUUUUUCUCAGUGUUCCGCAUUCUAAGAAUGCACAAAUUCGAUGUGAAAGAGAAGUAUCUAGCAUUAUUCUCUGACGUAGUCAAAUUUCGAGGACGAAAUUUCUUUAAGGGGGAGAGGAUGUAACACCCAGCAUUUUCACUACAGUAUAUAUAUUAUUUUCUAUUAUCUAAAAGAAGAAAGAGAAGUAGAAUCACUGAGAUGAGAUGAGAUAUUAUUAUAAUACCUUGAGCUUUUAAUUCAAUGAUUGCAUAAUUUGAAUAAUUAAGUAUUCUUGCUUUCUUUAUUAUUUUCAUUCUUGGAAGCAAGUUUAUAAUUCCUAGUUAAAGGGAUUAUUUUAUUAUUUUUCAGAGAUGAGAUUGGUGAUAAAUACGAAAUAUUAUUAGUCGACUUAUUGCUCGGCUAAUUGAAGUGACGGAUGUUAUUUAAUUAUUUAUCUAUGAGCUUUCUUUUUUUUUAAUAGUGAUAGUUUGAGGAAAUUUAGUAUAUCGUGGACGGAGGGAGUAUUAUAUUUCAUUGGGUGUAUAAUAAUUUAUUAAUUUAGAUAGCUAUCAAAUACUACUUGAGCUUGGAGCACAAGUUUCGUGAGUCAUAUUAGUGUAGAGAAUUGCUUUUCUAAUUUAUUCUUAUUUUUAUUUGAUCUAAUUUGAGGGCCACAAAAUAAGGCUUAUAGGAAAAGCCAAGUUUUACCUCUUAUUAUUUAUUUCUUCUACAAACCUCAAAUGGGCCGAUCAAGUAAGGGAAAUGAGGUUUGAAUUAUAUUGCUCAUUUCUAUAAUUGGAUUUAAAUUUUUAAUGUUUGAGAUAAGCAUUUAUUUAUUGUAAAGUGUAUAUAUUAGUUUGAGGAGAUUCAUUUCCUUUUCUUCUCCCCAAAACAGUCGACCUUCUCCCCUCUCUCUUUAUGGAACCUCAGUUUAGUUUGCUUUCAACCUUCAAGAAGAUUCAGCCGCCACCUCUGCUCCGACCGCCGUCGGCUGCCGUCGAGUCCAAGUCCGACGUCUCGUCUGUUCUUCCCUGGUGCCCCUCGCACUACUCUCAUCUUCUCUCAAUUUAGCGAAGAACCCAAAUGAGAAGCCCUAAUUUCAAAAUCCGAAAUCGCCGUCACCCGAGCCCGAAAUUCGGCAAUACAGCAUCCUCCUCUUCGACGUGGUCGAAGUUCUCGCACCGGAAGUCCUCGCCGUUCCCCCUUCUUUUCCGGUGUGGAGCCCUAAUUCUUAGUAGAAGGAAAUUACUACUGUCGCGACUGGAAGGCCAACGAACGGCUGAGCUUCGCCCAUCUCUGCCUUGAAUCCAUGCUCGAGAAGGAGAGAAAGGAAAACGAGCCCUAAUUCUUUUCUACUCCCGCCGUCAUGGUUCGGCUGCCACCUCCGCCGUCUGUGGAAGACCGGCGAUUCAGCGGCGCCGCUCCAUUCACAACGCCGCUACUGCUGCUACACGAUCCCCUCCGAGGCAGCAAGCGCUGCUGUCAUCAUCGUCGUCUUGGCUCGACUGAACAGGGUCGCGUCCCUCGUCGUCGAAAAGUUAGUAUUCUACUUGUUAUUGUAGAAAGUGUUUGAUGUUGCUUGUGAUUUCUGAGUUCAUGCCAUAAUAAUCGAGGCAUAGGUGACUUCUCUCUAAGAUUCCUAAAGUGAGAUAUUAAACAAAAUGUUAUAUGUUUCUAAGUUAGUAAUUACUUUAAAUUAAGUAAAAUGAUGGCAGGAAUCAUAGCUUCAGCCCAAAGCUUCGAUUUUUGACCCUCCCUCAAGAACCCCAGAAUUUCAUCUUCUUUAUAUUUGUAUCAAUUGACUAUGUAUACAUGUCUAUAUGUAUGUGAAGAAUUGAUUGGGAUUUAUUUGGGUAUUUAUUCACAAGAAAACAUGAUUCCCUAAUAGUUUAGUUUAAGUGGAUUUGGGAGUUCUUGGAAUAAGCUAGCUACAUGUUUGAUGCUUGUGUAAUUGUACUCCUUGAAUUGUAAAAUGAGAUUAUAUGACAAUAGUUGGAGGAUAUCAAGCAUGCUACUAUAUGUUGAUGUGUUGAACAUGAAUUACGUUUAAGCUAAAGCAUGCUAAUGUGUAGUAAGAUGAUGUAUUUGAGUUACUAUAGCUUUUAUUUGAUAAAAAUAUGAGUUAUAUGUUGAGUUGAGAUGAAGAAGGUAUUGCUGUUGGUUUUGCUGUACAGGACAGUACCUUGUAAGGUAUUUUCGGGAGUGUUCCUGUGAUCCAAAUAACUUGAAUUUUACUGUAUAACUUCAUCAUGAGUAGUAGAUCUCUGCAAAUUUCAGCUAAAUCCGAGACCAAUAGACAUGUCAAACUAUUUUCUGAAAUGUACUGCGUGAAGCAGCGUAGUUCAGUGGCAGAUUCUACCUUUGGUGAUAUAACUUCUUAUACACUUGAGAUAUUGUAUUUUUGUAAAUUUCUAAGAAAUAUAGACGUUAAUAGCUUUCUAAAAAGGUAAAGCUCGUAUUUUUCCUUGAAGCGAUUGAUUUUAUAUGAUUUUCCAAAGUUAGGAUUCAAAUGUGUAUGUGUCUUGAUUAAACUUGUGAUUGGUAGUUAAUUGAGAUCCUACACUACUAAACUUGAAUUGAGGUUUUAUUGUUCUAACUACCUAUUGAGGAUUAUUGAUUACUAAAGCUUGUUAAUAUGAUAGUUGAUGGACAUAAUUAUGUUUAUAUGAUUAAUUACUUUGGGAUUUUGUGUUUUACAUGUAUGGUUAGUUGUAAACUGAUCUCUAUGGAAUGGAUUUGUUUACUUCUAAACUUUCUCAAGUAGAGGAAUUCCUAUAAGAUAGGAAUAUUAGUUUAUACUUUCUUAAAGUUCAUAAGAGUUAGUAUAUUGGUUAGUUUAGUUGAUUCAACCCUAGCUCUGCAGAAGAUUAAAAGUUUAUUGGGAUGUUAUUUAUAGCUAAUUCUUCUUAUCUAGUUAUCCAAUCUUAUUUUAGAAUCUUGCUAUUAUGAAGGUGACAGUAGCAAUGAUAGAUAAGUGAGCAAGAGUUUCUACAUCGUUAAGCGUAUCAGGUGGGCUUUCUAAACUCAUAAUUUGAAGUGCGCACUAUUUAAUUAUGUUAUUAUAUGAAUGAAGUUAUAUUAAAGUUAUUGACUUGCCAAAACUUUUAUGAGCUUGUAUGUUACCAUCUACGAGAGAUAGACGAUAUCGGCCCUAUGCUGAAGCGAGAUGUCAGUAAGGGUUUGUGCACAUAGUUGUGACCGUGAGUCAUCGAGCGGGUUGGCCGGUCACUGUGAUCGGGAGCCUUCGGGCCGAUCACUGUGUUUGAGAAGGAGGCCUACUUCUCAACACAAGGUUACAUGAUGCGUAGUUAUGGUACAUACAUGUUAAUUGUCUGCAGACGUAUAUGAUAUUAUGAUGAUAUAUAUAUAGAAGUUUUACAGUUUUGGCGUGCACAGGUUAUUUAAAUAAAACUCCUGUGUGAUGCUUGAGAUGGCAAGUUCAAUAUAUAGCUCUAAGAGCAAACUUUAAAGUUAUUUCGGCAUGUGACCAUUGAGUACCUUUUUAGUACUCAGCCCUGCAUAUGUUUCUAAAUGUGCAGGUUAAGCUGUGAUGCAGAUGGAGGCGAGCAGAGCAAAGCUUUUGAAGUAUAAGUAUUAAAUUAGGCUCAGGAUUUCAUGUCUUCAUACAUGUAAUCCACUUAAGUUAUUCCGCUGCAACACUUAGUGUAUUUUACUUUAUUGAUGUGUUGUACAGAUUUUAAACCAAUAGCUUCGAAAAUUAUGUCACUUGAAAAUUUGACAACUUGUCGUUAUGUAUUGUGAGUUGUCUGCUUUGAGUUUUAGAAAAGAUUGUUUAUGAUUACCAAAUAUUUAGGUAAAUUAUUGUUUAAGCAAGAUGAUUAUUUUUAUUGAAACCUCUUUUAUUUUCCAUUUUCUUUUUCCAUUUCCCCAGUCACAUUUUCCCCGGCUUAACUGUUGUUAGCUUAGGUCGGGCUGUGACAGAGUGGUAUCAGAGCAGGUCAUUUGCUCUGAGCCUAAAUAUCCUUUUGAGUCUAGUCUAAAUUUGAAUCUUUGGACUAGUAUGAGUAAUAUAGUAAAAGCUCUGCUCUCCAUCUCAUCCAGCUUAGCCAGGUACGGAUUUUUCAGAGUUUUAAAGUAGCAUGUUACAUUUUUAAACAAGUUUGAGAUAUGAGUUGCAGUUUUGCAAGUAUUAGUAUGAUGGAAACUUAUAUAUUUUAAAAUGAGCAUGGACAACAUGAGUUAUUUUUGAGUAUCCUCUGCCUAUACGAACUUUUGGAUUUGAAUGGAUAAAAGUGUUAUUCAUAUAUUAAUAUUUAUAUUUUGAUAUGUGGAUGGAGAUAUAGACAGUUUGAUGAUACAAUAAUGAUGUAUAUCAGUCGCGAUGUAACCUAGUACUAGUAGUGAUGUUAUACAGUUAGGGCACCACAAUUAGUACUAAGAGCUUUUUGCAACAUAUAUUCCUAUCUUUCGUAUGAGAACUCAUUGAGGCAAAUUUUCCCAUGAUAUGAAACGACCGAAGUAGUCAUUUACUAGGUUGUUGAGCUUUAAUUGCUUAGAUGAUUGAAAUUUUGUGUAUGAGUUUUAUACUUUAGUUGGUUUAUAGUUAUGUAGCAGUUUGACUUUACGGAUGGAAUAAAAGCUCAAUUAUGGGGAUUUUGUGUAUUUACUCGGCAUGAUAUCUCAAAGAAGAAAUGGAAAUUUGCCAUCCGCCAUGUGAAUAAUUUAGAGGAAAGUUUUUCAUCAUCAAGAUCCCCCUAUUCAUAGUAGAGUUUCACGAGUUUCGCUUCCUUAGAUGCAAUGAUCAAGAGCGCCUUCUUGUAUGUUAUUUCAACUACAAGGAUCGACUGAUUCUUAGUGGGAGACGAAGCAGAAGAUACAUACCCUCGAGCGAUUAGAGAAUCUUAUUUGGGGC
This 7687-nucleotide long non-coding RNA is filed under the name Salvia miltiorrhiza (redroot sage). Its description in RNAcentral is "long non-coding RNA (SMIL_LNC006270)". Lineage: Eukaryota; Viridiplantae; Streptophyta; Magnoliopsida; Lamiales; Lamiaceae. The record is from RNAcentral.